Molecule: ribosomal RNA, 253 nt
Filed under: uncultured bacterium
Lineage: Bacteria
Description: partial 16S ribosomal RNA
Rfam family: Bacterial small subunit ribosomal RNA
Source: RNAcentral
UACGGAGGGUGCGAGCGUUGUCCGGAAUCACUGGGCGUAAAGGGCGCGUAGGCGGCCUCUUAUGGGUGCGGUGAAAGUCCGGGGCUCAACCCCGGAUCGGCCGUGCCGACUGAGAGGCUGGAGCACUGUAGAGGCGAGUGGAAUUCCGGGUGUAGCGGUGGAAUGCGUAGAGAUGUGGAGGAACACCAGUGGCGAAGGCGGCUUUCUGGUCUGUAACUGACGCUGAGGCGCGAAAGCGUGGGGAGCAAACAGG